RNAcentral lists this ribosomal RNA (506 nucleotides) under uncultured Glomeraceae. Its description in RNAcentral is "SSU rRNA". It matches the Rfam family "Eukaryotic small subunit ribosomal RNA", at positions 569 to 1078 of the family's 1831-position model. The record is from RNAcentral. Lineage: Eukaryota; Fungi; Glomeromycota; Glomeromycetes; Glomerales; Glomeraceae.
AGCAGCCGCGGUAAUUCCAGCUCCAAUAGCGUAUAUUAAAGUUGCUGCAGUUAAAAAGCUCGUAGUUGAAUUUCGGGACCAAUAUGUCGGUCGUGCCUCGGUACGUACUGGCAUCGUUGGUUUCUCCCUUCUGAAGAACCAUGAUGUCAUUUAUUUGGUGUAGUGGGGAAUCAGGACUGUUACUUUGAAAAAUUAGAGUGUUUAAAGCAGGCUCACGCUUGAAUACAUUAGCAUGGAAUAAUGAAAUAGGACGUUUGAUUCUAUUUUGUUGGUUUCUAGGAUCGACGUAAUGAUUAAUAGGGAUAGUUGGGGGCAUUAGUAUUCAAUUGUCAGAGGUGAAAUUCUUGGAUUUAUUGAAGACUAACUACUGCGAAAGCAUUUGCCAAGGAUGUUUUCAUUAAUCAAGAACGAAAGUUAGGGGAUCGAAGACGAUCAGGUACCGUCGUAGUCUUAACCAUAAACUAUGCCGACUAGGAAUCAGACGAUGUUAAUUUUUAAUGUACUCG